This 446-nucleotide ribosomal RNA is filed under the name uncultured bacterium. RNAcentral describes it as "bacterial SSU rRNA". It matches the Rfam family "Bacterial small subunit ribosomal RNA", at positions 329 to 792 of the family's 1533-position model. The record is from RNAcentral.
UCCCAGACUCCUACGGGAGGCAGCAGUGGGGGAUAUUGCACAAUGGGGGAAACCCUGAUGCAGCGACGCCGCGUGGGUGAAGAAGCGCCUCGGCGCGUAAAGCCCUGUCAGCAGGGAAGAAAAUGACGGUACCUGAAGAAGAAGCCCCGGCUAACUACGUGCCAGCAGCCGCGGUAAUACGUAGGGGGCAAGCGUUAUCCGGAUUUACUGGGUGUAAAGGGGGCGCAGACGGCGAUGCAAGCCAGGAGUGAAAGCCCGGGGCCCAACCCCGGGACUGCUCUUGGAACUGCGUGGCUGGAGUGCAGGAGGGGCAGGCGGAAUUCCUGGUGUAGCGGUGAAAUGCGUAGAUAUUAGGAAGAACACCAGUGGCGAAGGCGGCUUUCUGGACUGAAACUGACGCUGAGGCACGAAAGCGUGGGGAGCGAACAGGAUUAGAUACCCCUGUA